UACGUAGGCAGCGAGCGUUGUUCGGAAUUACUGGGCGUAAAGAGUGUGUAGGCGGUGCUCUAAGUCUGUCGUGAAAUCUCCCGGCUUAACUGGGAGGGUGCGGCGGAAACUGGAGUGCUCGAGGGUGGGAGAGGAAAGCGGAAUUCCUGGUGUAGCGGUGAAAUGCGUAGAUAUCAGGAGGAACACCUGUGGUGUAGACAGCUUUCUGGACCACUUCUGACGCUGAGACACGAAAGCGUGGGUAGCAAACAGG
RNAcentral lists this ribosomal RNA (253 nucleotides) under uncultured bacterium. RNAcentral describes it as "partial 16S ribosomal RNA". It matches the Rfam family "Bacterial small subunit ribosomal RNA", at positions 524 to 776 of the family's 1533-position model. The record is from RNAcentral.